This is a non-coding RNA of Schistosoma mansoni, 45 nucleotides long. Lineage: Eukaryota; Metazoa; Platyhelminthes; Trematoda; Strigeidida; Schistosomatidae. The record is from Rfam.
AUUCAGCUGACGAAUUCCAUACAGGACGAAACGCACGUCCUGGAC